This 215-nucleotide ribosomal RNA is filed under the name Pichia kudriavzevii. RNAcentral describes it as "partial 26S ribosomal RNA". It matches the Rfam family "Eukaryotic large subunit ribosomal RNA", at positions 56 to 281 of the family's 3401-position model. The record is from RNAcentral. Lineage: Eukaryota; Fungi; Ascomycota; Pichiomycetes; Pichiales; Pichiaceae.
UGAGGCAAGGGGAUUGCCUCAGUAGCGGCGAGUGAAGCGGCAAGAGCUCAGAUUUGAAAUCGUGCUUUGCGGCACGAGUUGUAGAUUGCAGGUUGGAGUCUGUGUGGAAGGCGGUGUCCAAGUCCCUUGGAACAGGGCGCCCAGGAGGGUGAGAGCCCCGUGGGAUGCCGGCGGAAGCAGUGAGGCCCUUCUGACGAGUCGAGUUGUUUGGGAAU